GAGGUUGACAGAAGGGAAAAAUUUAUUUAAAGUACUAUAUUUUUUAUAUAUAUUUUUUUAUUAAAAUCUUGAAAUGAGUAAUUAUAGUGUAGUUGAAUAUUUUGGCAAAAAUGUUAGUAAAUGUGGUUAUUGCAAGCAAAAUGAAGGGAGUAAAUGUCAUGGAAUGUGGACACAUUGCUUAACUGUGCAAGAUUAUCAGGAUUUAAUAGAUAGGGGAUGGAGACGUUCAGGGAAAUACUGUUAUAAACCUAUUAUGGAUGAAUCAUGCUGUAAAUUAUACACAAUUAAGUGCGCCGCACUGAAUCUUCAGUUAUCAAAAUCGCAAAAGAAGAAUGUUAAAAAUGUUAACAAAUUCUUGUCUAAUGGCAUAAAAGACAGCACGGUUUGUGAAGAUGUUCAUUCUCUUGCUUGUGGAGAUCAAAUGAACAUAGACAAUAAACCAACUACUUUAAUGACAAAUAGAGUAGAUGAUAUUGAAGCUAUUGGCAUUGGUUCAGAAAUCAGUAUGGCUAAUACAACAGAUCAUGUUAGUAAUUCUUCAGAGGCAAACGAUAAUAAUCACUGUUUAGAAGAAAAAUCUAGCAUAAAAUCUGUGAAGCAAGGUCUUGGUGCUGAUCUUACUAGACCGCCAUGUAAAAAAGCUAAAGUACUUAGAAUGGAAAGGAAAAAGGCUAAGUUAUUAGAAAGAGGCGUUGUUUUAGAAGAAAAGCUGCAAAGUAAAAACGUGGAUAAAACAUUGGAAGAUCUUGUCAAUAAUAUUCCAGACAAAUCCGUUCAUAAGUUGGAGUGCCGUUUGUUACAUAUACAAAGUUCAGAGUUUUUAGAUACAGUUAAAGAAAGUUUUAUAAUAUAUCAUAAAUAUCAAACAGUAAUUCAUAAAGAACCUAGUGAUGAAUGCGAUUUCAAGAGCUUUGAAGAUUUCCUAUGUGAUUCACCAUUAGAGUCUUUGGGAGAUUUUGGUUCCUUUCAUCAACAGUAUUAUUUAGAUGGAAAAUUAAUAGCUGUAGGAGUUAUAGACAUCUUACCUAGUUGUGUUAGUUCAGUAUACUUUUACUAUGAUCCUGAUUAUGGGCACAUGUCUCUUGGCACAUAUGGGGCUUUGAGGGAACUAAUGUUAGUGCGCCAAUUGAAUCAGAAAUAUCCUGAUUUAAAAUACUACUAUAUGGGUUAUUAUAUACAUACUUGUUUGAAAAUGAAAUAUAAAGCAAGAUUAAGGCCUUCGUUUCUCUUAUGCCCGGUGACAUACACUUGGAUUUCUAUUGAGAAAUGUUUACCGAAAAUUGAUGCCAGUCCAUAUUCAAGAUUAUCUUCUGAUGGAGAAGAUCUGAAUUAUUGCAAUGAAAAUGAUUUAAGUAAAGUUAGAGUUUUAUGGGGUAGAACAAUUCAUUAUUAUUAUAUGUAUGCAAGAAAUAAUGAAGAAGCCGAUGCUCAUGAAGUACUGGAAUAUGCGCGCUUGAUUGGUAAAACACUAUCUAGAAGAAUGCUGUUAUAUAGGCAAUAAUAGAUAUUUGGGGAGUAGUUGUAACGUUUUAACCUAUACUUUUAAAAAACCUGGGACAAUCCGGAACAAAAAAUCUAAAUCCGGGACAAAUAAUGAUUCUAGAGAAACCUGGGACACAAGGUGGAAAUGCAGGAUUAUCCCGGCCAAACCGGGACUAAGGGUCACCUUACCCACCUUACUAAUGAGCAUAGUUAUUAUUAGAAUUAAGGCGAUGAUAAUUAGUACGAUAGAAUGGGGUUCACAAUGAAAACAGUAAAAAAUCAAAAUAAGGAUGCAUUAUACUUGAGGUGAGAUCUAAAGGCAUGUGCUUCGUUUGGUGCAUGGUUUGGUUAACGCUUACUAUCAAUG
Molecule: RNA transcript, 1849 nt
Organism: Ctenocephalides felis (cat flea)
Lineage: Eukaryota; Metazoa; Arthropoda; Insecta; Siphonaptera; Pulicidae
Gene: Ate1
Gene name: arginyl-tRNA--protein transferase 1
Exons: 10
Source: RefSeq, a predicted model, not a curated record